Molecule: ribosomal RNA, 304 nt
Filed under: uncultured bacterium
Lineage: Bacteria
Description: partial 16S ribosomal RNA
Rfam family: Bacterial small subunit ribosomal RNA
Source: RNAcentral
AAGCAGUAGCCGCGGGAAUACGUAGGGUGCAAGCGUUAAUCGGAAUUACUGGGCGUAAAGCGUGCGCAGGCGGUUAUAUAAGUCAGAUGUGAAAUCCCCGGGCUCAACCUGGGAACUGCAUUUGAGACUGUAUGGCUAGAGUGUGUCAGAGGGGGGUAGAAUUCCACGUGUAGCAGUGAAAUGCGUAGAUAUGUGGAGGAAUACCGAUGGCGAAGGCAGCCCCCUGGGAUAACACUGACGCUCAUGCACGAAAGCGUGGGGAGCAAACAGGAUUAGAUACCCCGGUAGUCCCUGUCUCUUAUAC